ACGGGAGGAUCGGUAGGGUGGGAGAUGCUGCAGAGGCUUCCGUGAGACUGGAUAAGAAAACAAAAAUCUGGUGAAAUUGGCGGCAAGGAGGGAGUUAAGGACAUUCCAGGCAGAGGCAAGUUACUUCCCAUGGAAGAAUAAUGUUACAGAAUGAAAAGCUAACAUAACUCAGGACUUGAUGGGCGAAGAGGAGGUCUUGAAUUUUGUGAAAACGGGAACUGCCUUCAGCUCCCUGCAACAGAAGAACCCAAACAGAAGAACCCAAAAGGGUGGACCUGAAGGAGGAGGGCUGCAGGCAUUUGCCUCAGCCAAGAGGCUGCUCUGUGGAGGGGACGCAUGGUAGCUGAGCACUGUUCCAGCCAACCACCCUGUGCUUCAGCAUUGAGGAUGAGGAUGCCAAGGUCAUGGGAUUUAUCCAAGAGUCUUGGUGAAUUCAGUAGUCUGGGCUACAGUGAUUGUCUAAUCAGUAAUAGGAGAGAAUUCAAUAAUAGAAGUAAUAAGAAGAGAAUUCCUCAUAUAAUAGAAGCAAUAAGAGAAUUCCUCAUGUUCCUAAAGGUACACUGAACCCUCCUCCCGACCCCCACCCAAUAAAGCUCAGCCACAAACACAUCA
Molecule: long non-coding RNA, 612 nt
Organism: Macaca mulatta (Rhesus monkey)
Lineage: Eukaryota; Metazoa; Chordata; Mammalia; Primates; Cercopithecidae
Source: RefSeq, a predicted model, not a curated record